UUUCAUAGCAAGGGCCGAGCAAGACCGGUGCCAGCCGCCGCGGUAACACCGGCGGCUCGAGUGGUAACCGUUAUUAUUGGGUCUAAAGGGUCUGUAGCCGGCCGGAUAAGUCUCUUGAGAAAUCUGGCAGCUUAACUGUCAGGCUUUCAGGAGAUACUGUCUGGCUCGAGGCCGGGAGAGGUGAGAGGUACUUCAGGGGUAGGGGUGAAAUCUUGUAAUCCUUGAAGGACCACCAGUGGCGAAGGCGUCUCACCAGAACGGACCUGACGGCAAGGGACGAAAGCUAGGGGCACGAACCGGAUUAGAUACCCGGGUAGUCCUAGCCGUAAACGAUACUCGCUAGGUGUCGGCCACGGUGCGACCGUUGUCGGUGCCGUAGGGAAGCCGUGAAGCGAGCCACCUGGGAAGUACGGCCGCAAGGCUGAAACUUAAAGGAAUUGGCGGGGGAGCACCACAACGGGUGGAGCUUGCGGUUUAAUUGGAUUCAACGCCGGAAAUCUUACCGGGACCGACAGCAAUAUGAAGGCCAGGCUGAAGACUUUGCCGGAUUAGCUGAGAGGUGGUGCAUGGCCGUCGUCAGUUCGUACUGUGAAGCAUCCUGUUAAGUCAGGUAACGAGCGAGACCC
Molecule: ribosomal RNA, 626 nt
Filed under: unidentified archaeon
Lineage: Archaea
Description: bacterial SSU rRNA
Rfam family: Archaeal small subunit ribosomal RNA
Source: RNAcentral